AAAAGUAGAGGUCGCACGAUCGAUCAGUAAUCCUGACGAUGUCCGUAUACAAGAGAAUCAGGGUGAAAGGCGGUAGUGCCGAAGUACAUUUCAGGUACGGCUGACAUGUGCUGGGCGCAAGUUAAAAAGGCUUGUGACUGUCAUCGGGUGAUGGAGAGCUACUUG
Molecule: non-coding RNA, 165 nt
Filed under: bovine gut metagenome
Description: Lysine riboswitch
Rfam family: Lysine riboswitch aptamer
About the family: Riboswitches are metabolite binding domains within certain messenger RNAs that serve as precision sensors for their corresponding targets.
Source: RNAcentral